Quercus lobata is the source of this 691-nucleotide long non-coding RNA. RefSeq lists it as uncharacterized. Lineage: Eukaryota; Viridiplantae; Streptophyta; Magnoliopsida; Fagales; Fagaceae. The record is from RefSeq and is a predicted model, not a curated record. The transcript is spliced from 4 exons.
CACCAUCUCUGUAGCGCAUGCUAGAAAUCUCAUCUCUCUGCUUUGCUAUAGAAUAGCAAUCCUCUCCGUGCUGCUACAGGUAGAGUUUUUGAUCAACAAAACACCAAGCAACAUUGAUCUACUAACAAAAACCACCAGAUGGAUAAAAACACCACUUCCAACUCCAAAGCAAAAAAAGCAAGAGCAUUAUGGGGAAAUCCAAGUUAGACAACUACUUUUUGUAACCUUUGUGUGGAAGAGAUUGAAGCCAGGAAUAGAACAAUCUUUGUUGCCUUUAGUCCCAAAGGUUGGAGCAAUUUGGUGAUCAAAUUUUGUGAUGAGACCGGUCUAAACUAUGAUAAGGACCAAUUAAAAAGUAGGCGGGAUGCAUUAAAAACAGAUUGGAGAGUGUGGGAAAAAUUGAAGGGUCUUGGCACAGGUUUAGGUUGGGAUGCAAUGAAGGGAACGAUUGAUGCUAGUGAUGAUUGAUGGGACAUGAAGUUGAAGGAAGUACCCAAAACUUCAAAAUUUCGACAUAAAGGUCUGCAGAAUCUACAACAACUUGAUAGAAUGUUCAGGGAUGUUGCAGCAACUGGAGUAGAACUCAAGAUCUUUAACAGACCCUGAUAUGGUGGUUUUUCAUGAUUCCAUUGCUAAUUCCAUUUGGGGGAUAAUAAUUAGUAGUUGUCUUCUUCUUUUUUUAAAUUUUAAC